AUGCGAGGAAGUGACCCUCGGCCGGACCGCGCGCCCCCGCCGCCGCCGGCCCCGCGGACGCAGGCAAAAGUUGGGGCGCGGGCGGCGCUCGGGGCGCGGGUUCGGGGCCCGCGGGCGGCGGUGGAGGCGGGGGCGGCGGCGGCGGCGGCGACACGGCCCGGGCGGCGCUGCGCUCCUGCGCCCACCCGGCCCCCGGCCCCCGCCCGCGCCCCGCGCCCCGCACACGCCCAACUCCUCGCUCCCAACUCCUCGCGCGGCCCCGGCCCCGGCCCCGGCCCCGGCCCCUGCCCCGGCCCCGGCCCCGGCCCGGAGCGAUUUCCUGCCGCCGCCCCUCCCGGAGGCGCCCGGCGAACUCUCGCGCUCACCGGGUCGGUCGGGAGGCUCCUCCGCUGCCCCGCGCCGAGGGCACAGCACAACGCAGGACGGGCUCCGGAGUUGGCUCGGCGGCCGCGGCCGGGGGGCUCAUCCACGGGCGCGGAGUUGGCCGGCGCGGACGGGGCUCUGGCGAGUUUCAGGGUCUCCGGGUCCCCGGGCCGCCUCCUCAGCGGCGCUCCUUUGUGUAAUUCCACUCGAUUCAAGUUUAAUCCGAUAGUUCCCGAGCACGAGCGCGUCCGCACUACCGCGGCUCAGCCCCCGCGCCGCCGCCGCCGCCGCCGCCGCCGCCGCCACCGCUGCCGCCGCCGCCGCCGCCGCCGCCGCCGCGGCCCCAGCACGCCAGCGCCUGCGCGCGCCCGGCAGCCGCGCGUGCCCGAGGCCGCGGGGCCGCGCGCGCCCGCCGCCGGCUCCCUCCGCGCCGCGCCCGCGCCCGCGCCCCCGCCCGCGCCCCCGCCCGCGCCCCCGCCCGCGCCCGCGCGCCGCCACCUGACGUCAGGCGCGCCUGGCAUAAUUUAUGCAAGAAUUCGGCCGGGGUGGCGGAGGCCGAGGGAGAGGCCGAGGGAAAAGGGGCGGCGCGGGGCUGCGGGGCGCGGGCGCGGAGGGCGGGCCGGGCGCCACUUCCCGUCCCCGGGCGGGCGCCGGCGCUGCGGGCGGUGCUCCCCCGCGGGCCGGUGCGCGGCCGCCGCGCAGCCUCCCUGGCGGGGCCCCUCCGAGCGCCCGGCCGCCGCGCAGCAAGCAGCGCCCCGGGCGCGGGCCGCCGACGGUGCCACGUUUCCCCGCGCGGCAGCUUCCCGGAGCCCGGGUGCGCCGCCCCGGGGCAGGCAGGGGCAGGCAGGGGCGCGGGCCGCGGGCCGCGGGGCUCCGGGACGGCGGCGGGCGCCCCUCCUGCGACCAUGCUUCCACCUGGAGUGA
RNAcentral lists this long non-coding RNA (1287 nucleotides) under Canis lupus familiaris (dog). Its description in RNAcentral is "lncRNA (ENSCAFG00030016437.1)". Lineage: Eukaryota; Metazoa; Chordata; Mammalia; Carnivora; Canidae. The record is from RNAcentral.